This 440-nucleotide ribosomal RNA is filed under the name uncultured bacterium. RNAcentral's name for it is "partial 16S ribosomal RNA". It matches the Rfam family "Bacterial small subunit ribosomal RNA", at positions 338 to 795 of the family's 1533-position model. The record is from RNAcentral.
CCUACGUGGGGCUGCAGUGGGGAAUAUUGCACAAUGGGGGAAACCCUGAUGCAGCAACGCCGCGUGAGUGAAGAAGUAUUUCGGUACGUAAAGCUCUAUCAGCAGGGAAGAAGAUGACGGUACCUGAGUAAGAAGCCCCGGCUAACUACGUGCAAGCAGCCGAGGUAAUACGUAGGGGGCAAGCGUUAUCCGGAUUUACUGGGUGUAAAGGGAGCGUAGACGGUUAGACAAGUCUGAAGUGAAAGCUCGGGGCUCAACCCCGGGACUGGUUUGGAAACUGCCUGACUGGAGUGUUGACGAGGUAAGUGGAAGUCCUAGUGUCGCGGUGAAAUGCGUAGAUAUUAGGAGGAACACCAGUGGCGAAGGCGGCUUACUGGACUGUAACUGACGUUGAGGCUCGAAAGCGUGGGGAGCAAACAGGAUUAGAUACCCCAGUAGUC